This 3827-nucleotide long non-coding RNA is filed under the name Ananas comosus (pineapple). RNAcentral's name for it is "long non-coding RNA (ACOM_LNC010289)". The record is from RNAcentral. Lineage: Eukaryota; Viridiplantae; Streptophyta; Magnoliopsida; Poales; Bromeliaceae.
UCGGGUUGUAGCGAGUAUCUCCCCGAUAGUAGGGAUUUGGGUUGGUGAGUUCUGAGGCGAAACCUACGCGUUAGCUGAGAGGAUUGGGUAUUGAUUGUGGCAAUUGCCAUGCACCAUGAGCAGUAUAUAUGUUGGUUCUCCUCGCCCAUUGGGCGAUGUGGUUUGAGGAUUUAAGGUUGAGGUGCAUGUGAGACGUCCUUCACCUUGAGCCUGACAGAGCGCGGCAUAUCCGCGGUUGAUUGACUCAAGACCGAGUCGAGUGGCAUAGUUGGUUAAGGUAAAGUAACCUUAGGAAAGAUUGGUUAGUGCUAAAGAAUAGCGAAUAGUAAAGAAUGGCAACGAAGAAAGAACGAUUAAUACUAAGGAAAAGCAAAUAAUAAAGAACGGCUAAGAAUUAAAGAAAGGCAAGUGAAAGAAAGUAGAAUUAGUUAACCUACUUGCAUAAGUUGCAUGAUUUACAUAUUGCAUGUCUUGAGGCAUAAACAUGUAUUUAAUAUUUGUAUUAAAUAUCUAUAGAUAUCUGUUGGACUAACAUGUUUGCAGUGCCUCCUUGGACCUGGUGGGUCGAGCUUUUUCCUUGGGUAGCCGUACCUACUGGGAACUAUGGACAAUCGUUUUCACCCCCGUGUUGUUUUUGGGGGUACAGGUUCACACAUGAGCGGCGCGGUGGCGCGAGGAAAGGGCGUAUCUCCGUAGAUAGCGCCCUACAACCAAGACCAGAAAUAGCAUUACCCCGAGUCGGCUUAGCUAGGGGUUGUAGAAAAGAUGUAAAACAAUAUUGUAAUAAUCUUGUGAUCGAUAAUUGUAUUUGGAAGGAAAUGUAAUCGAAAAUUGUAAAUGUAUAACUUGGGAUGAAUGCUUGUAAUAGCUUAGUUGUUUUAUAUUUUUGAUACUUUCUUAUGCAAUCUAUGCUUGAUUUAUGUUCCUGGUUGGAACAUCGUGAAUUGUAUUGAUUGCGACGCCUACUGUAACAUAUCAGAUUUUGGUAUAAAAAUAAAAAUAAAUAAAAAUAGUGUGAGAUACUAUUUUUAUUGGAUUUAGAGGAGCAAAACAUAAGUCAGAAGUGACUUGUGCUGAAAUCGGAAUGAAAACAGAAGAUCUAGAAUUUUCUAUUGAAAACGGGACAGAUAAAUUAGCAGAAAAUGCAUAGUCUCAGAAAAUUAUGAAAAUUGGAGGAUAAGCCAGAAAUAUUUUUAUGAGACUAGAUUUAAAGUUUCAUAUUUUUCUGACACCCGGAAGGUGAAAAAUAAAAUCCGACAAGUUAUUUGAUAAAGAUUACAGUUCGGUACAGUUUUUGAUGACCAAAUUGGGUCGAAACUGAAAACUUAAGAUAUAUUCUUACUCAGUACGUUAAACUGAGCCUACCUGUCAAAUUUGAGCUCAAACGGACAUUCAGAAGGGCUCCAACUGUUCCGAACUGCUAAACUGCCCUGGGGUGAAUAGUGUCUUGGGGUGUAUAAUAAAGAAGCAAAGUGCUUCUUCUUCCUCUCCUUUAGCUCGAGCACACACACGCACGCACGCAUGGAGAGAGAAGAGAAACUCUCCUUUCUCUCUCUAAAGAUCUCUCUUAUCUCUCUACAUCUCUUGCUCAAAUUCGCGGCGUUGGCGGAGAAGAUGCUCACGAACGCGUUGGGAGCGACGGAUAGAGCUUUCGUGCGCCCGUUGGAGCGGCGUGUUUUCGUCGCGGCAUUCAUAUUGUGGUAAGCUUUUGGGAUUUGGCUUAAUCCUUAGCUUUAAGUGUUCUAAUAGCCUCUAAUGAGCAUUGUUAGCAUGUUGCUCCAUUUAAUUUGGAUUAUUUGGAGGUUAAUUGCAUCUAGGGCUCAAAAAUGCUAGUUUUGUAAACAUGAGGGUUUGAUCUCAUUUGACCCUCUGUAAACUUAAUUGCUAGGUAAACGAACGCGUUGGCGAAGUCGGUUCGGCGAUUCGUCGAGCCGUUGCGAAGUUAUUAAAGAAACGGGCGUCUAGGCUUCGUUUCCGCCUGGAGGGCCGAGGCGACAUCGUAAACUCAUGAAAAUGGAUUUGAAGUAUCGUGGCACAUAACCGAAGACCUUUAAUUUCCGGAUCGUGGAUUGGAGGCCGUUCGGGUGGUCGCGCGAGAGAUCGGGCCAAACCGGGUGCCGGGUGCCGCGGGAGGCCGAUUCCAAGUGUCGACAAGCAAUCAGAAUGCGAAAUGAGGUGGGUUGUGUUUACCGAAGCGAUUAGGUCGCUUUCAUGCCAAAGUAUAGUGUAUUUCACUAUUGAUGCAUGGUGAUAGUAAAAAUACUAAGUAAGAAGGCAUGAUAAAAAUGCUAAGUAAUAAUGCAUGAUAAGAAUGCUAAGUAUGAAUGUAUGUGAUAGAUGUUAAGUAAUGCAUGUAAUAUGUGCCAAGUAAUGAACGUAUAAGAUGUAUGCGAAGGAAUGCAUGUUGUCACAAUAGGAAAUGCUAAAAGAAUUCAUAUUGACAUAAAGUAGAAAGCAUGUUAGUGGUGAUGAAUAAUGAUAAGAUAAGAAUGUUAAGUAAAUGCAUUGAAUGAUGUUAGCUAAAGGCAUGAGAUAAGUGGCAUUGUAUGUUAACGUAAAGUAGAAAGCAUGUUAGUGAUGAUGCAUAAUGAUAAGAUAAGAAUGCUAAGUAAAGGAUAUGUGUAAGUAGACAUAAAUGCACGUAUAGAUCGAGUGGCAUUAAACCUAGUGUCAAGGACAUAGUUUAAACAAGAGUAAUAAUGAACCUAGUGUCAUUGAAUAUAGGUUAUUCACGAGUGGCAUGUCAAGUAUAAUUCCUAGGUGUGGACAACUAGGAAAACAAGAACAUGAGUGGCAUUGAACCUAGAGUCAAGUAAACCUAGGUUGUGAACAUAGUGACAUGGAAUCUAGAGUCAAAAGAACCUAGGUGGUAAAGAAUGUUGGACCUAGUGUUAAUGAAUCUGGACUAAGAAGAUGAUGACGUUGAACCUAAUGUAUUAACUUAGGUUGAGUAAAGGCUUGGACCUAGAUAGGCCGAUAACAUAGGGUGAGACAAACCCUUGAGUUAUGUAAAGUGGAUUCCGGAAUCCCUGCCACUAGUGCAGCGGCUACUAGUGCAGCAUACAAGCUCGAUAGUUCUUGGCCGUGGGUGCUUGUGACAUAUUCCUCUCCCACCGGAAGAACUUCGAGGCUUGUUAUUGAGCAAUAAUCAUGAGCGCUAGGGUGCAUGUGGCAUGUUCCUCUCUCUAUCGGGGAUCUCGGCUGCGGGUGUAUGCGGCAUGUUCCUCUCCCACCGGGGGAUCCCUGACCACGGGUGUACGCAGCUCUGGGCGACCCGUUGGGCGAUGUGGUUUGUGGAUUGAAGGCUGAGGUGCAUGUGAGAGUUCCUUCACCUCGAGCCGGACAGAGCGCGGACUAUCCGCAGUUGAUUGACUCAAGACCGAGUCGGAUGGCAUAGUUGGCUAAGGUAAAGUAAUCUUAGGAAAGAAAGGCUAAUGUGUAUAAUAUUACUAAGGUGUGAGUACCCUUAGUAAAGCGUAAAGAAUAAAGAAUAAAGAAUAAGGAAAGGUUAAUGCUAAAGAAUGGCAAGUAAUAAAGAAUAAAGAAAGGCAAAUGCUAAAGAAUAGCUAGUAAAGUAAAGAAUGACUAAAAGUAAAGAAUGGAUAAGAAUAAAGUGUAGAAGCAAUUAAUCUAUUACAUGAGUUGCAUAAUUUACAUAUUGCAUGUUGUGAGGCAAAAACAUGGUAAUGUUAGUUGCAUGAUUUACGAUUUCAUAUCUAUCUAUUGGACUAACAUGUUGUUUGCCUCUUUUGGACCUGAUGGUCGAGCUCUUUCCUUGGGUGGCUGUACCCACUGGGAACCAUGGAGUUGGUUCUCACCCCACGUUG